This 254-nucleotide ribosomal RNA is filed under the name uncultured bacterium. Its description in RNAcentral is "partial 16S ribosomal RNA". It matches the Rfam family "Bacterial small subunit ribosomal RNA", at positions 524 to 776 of the family's 1533-position model. The record is from RNAcentral.
UACGUAGGGGGCGAGCGUUGUCCGGAUUUAUUGGGCGUAAAAGGCUUGUAGGUGGCCACGCCAAGUCGGAUGUGAAAUCUCCCGGCUCAACUGGGAGGGGUCAUUCGAUACUGGCGGGCUCGAGGCCGGUAGGGGGAAGCGGAAUUCCCGGUGUAGUGGUGGAAUGCGUAGAUAUCGGGAGGAACACCAGUGGCGAAGGCGGCUUCCUGGACCGGUUCUGACACUGAGGAGCGAAAGCGUGGGGAGCGAACAGG